CCUACGGGAUGCCGCAGUGAGGAAUAUUGGUCAAUGGGCGGAAGCCUGAACCAGCCAAGUCGCGUGAGGGAAUAAGGCCCUACGGGUCGUAAACCUCUUUUGCCGGGGAGCAAGGGCGGGGACGUGUCCCGGCCCGGAGAGUACCCGGAGAAAAAGCAUCGGCUAACUCCGUGCCAGCAGCCGCGGUAAUACGGAGGCUGCGAGCGGUAUCCGGAAUUAUUGGGUUUAAAGGGUGCGCAGGCGGCGAGUUAAGUCAGCGGUAAAAUUUCGGGGCUCAACCCCGACGAGCCGUUGAAACUGGCUUGCUAGAGUGGGCGAGAAGUAUGCGGAAGGCGUGGUGUAGCGGUGAAAUGCAUAGAGAUCACGCAGAACCCCGAUUGCGAAGGCAGCAUACCGGCGCCCAACUGACGCUCAGGCACGAAAGCGUGGGUAUCGAACAGGAUUAGAUACCCUAGUAGUC
Molecule: ribosomal RNA, 460 nt
Filed under: uncultured bacterium
Lineage: Bacteria
Description: partial 16S ribosomal RNA
Rfam family: Bacterial small subunit ribosomal RNA
Source: RNAcentral